UUAGCGGCGGACGGGUGAGUAACACGUGGGUAACCUACCUAUAAGACUGGGAUAACUUCGGGAAACCGGAGCUAAUACCGGAUAAUAUUUCGAACCGCAUGGUUCGAUAGUGAAAGGUGGUUUUGCUAUCACUUAUAGAUGGACCCGCGCCGUAUUAGCUAGUUGGUAAGGUAACGGCUUACCAAGGCGACGAUACGUAGCCGACCUGAGAGGGUGAUCGGCCACACUGGAACUGAGACACGGUCCAGACUCCUACGGGAGGCAGCAGGG
RNAcentral lists this ribosomal RNA (270 nucleotides) under uncultured Staphylococcus sp. RNAcentral's name for it is "partial 16S ribosomal RNA". It matches the Rfam family "Bacterial small subunit ribosomal RNA", at positions 92 to 354 of the family's 1533-position model. Lineage: Bacteria; Bacillati; Bacillota; Bacilli; Caryophanales; Staphylococcaceae. The record is from RNAcentral.